Molecule: RNA transcript, 9162 nt
Organism: Strongylocentrotus purpuratus (purple sea urchin)
Lineage: Eukaryota; Metazoa; Echinodermata; Echinoidea; Camarodonta; Strongylocentrotidae
Gene name: diacylglycerol kinase zeta
Exons: 23
Source: RefSeq, a predicted model, not a curated record
AAGCAUUAAAAUCCUUAAAUUGGCCACACAUUGAGAGGUUAAAAAUCACUGGUUUAACCAAAUUUUAAAAAAAUCAUGGUUACUGUAGCAAAUCAAAAAGAGCUGCAAACCAAAAGUUGUUUACUAUUAUUAAGUGGUCUACUGGUGUAUAUUAAGUGAGUUACAAUGUAAACAUUCAGAUAUAUAUGAUACAGGUCUAUUUAGUUAUGAAAUGGAGAUAACAAUACUCAAAGCAUGUGUACAUUUAUAUGUUUAUUUUGUUAAUGAUCCCAUGUAUGUUUGCAGGCGUAGGUGUGUCUGGAGUGUGGGUGAGGUUGCGUGGGUGUGUGAUUGUGUUACUUUUCAAUUUGAAUCACAAAAAUGACCAAUAUUUCUUCACCAUUCAUGUCAUAUAUACAUAGAAGGAACACAAACUACUAAUACUAGGACAUUCAAUUUUGCAUACAAAUUACAUGCAUUUGAGGAUUUUUUAAAUGGGAUGAAAGACAAAAAAAUUAAAAGAUGUGAUAACAUAAAGUAAAAAAGUAUUGUGCAAAAAUUGUAAAAAGCAUUAGAAUAAUAAAAUGACUUGAUAUUGAGCUAUCUUCUUUCCGAAAUCUUUCUUGCGUAAAUUAUUGUAAAGAAAUUAAAUUUUGUGAUUCAAAUUGAUGUAAGAUGAUGUGAUUUUCUUCCGGGAAUUCAUGAAAUUUUUGGUUCCUUUUACAGAGUGGAAUGUGUUACAUGAUUCAAGACUUUCAAGAUGACUCAGAAACAGCAUUAACUGUGUGACGUUUUGAAGCUAACAGUAUCAUUCCCAUGAAAACCUGGGUUCAUCUGCGAUUGUAGACUGUGUGCGUGUUUACCCAAGGUAUCUUACAUGAAUGUAAGUAGGCGGGACAGUACAAUGGCCACUUGUCCAAAAAGCAAGUCAUCCAGAACUUCUUGUGUUGUUAUAGAUGAAUGAAACAGAUUUUAAUAAUAUGAAUUUCGCUUUGGAACGAUAUGCAACUUUCCAUGUCUACAUCGUUUUUCAGAUGAUCAACUUAUGUGUGUGAAAUAUAUCAUGCAAUAUACUACUGUACAGUAAUAUACGAUUUACAUGAUUAAAUUCAUACAUAACCGGAAACUGAUCACUGUAUUAGAAGUACAUAUACUCUACUAGAGGUAACAACAUGUUGGUAAUCGCCACUGGUACAAUAUACGUUCAGGAACGUAAUUGAAAUCGUCGUUUGAAAACGAUUUCGAAGUGGAUCAGUGAAAAAACACGUCGUCCCGAAUAAUGCAGACUUUUGAUUGUAUCGUCCCGCGAGGAUCGCCGAAGAUUACCAGAAUGGAAGCCCUUGGUGGAACGAAGGCUCAUCGUCACAGCAUCUUCAAGAUGCAGACGAGCCGCAGCGACAUAUCAACAACGGAAUCGGACAUCUACGAAAGCCAUGCCCUGAAGGCCACGAGGCAUGGCAUGUUCACGAAGUAUAAACUGAAACCUCGGUCCCAAUCGAUGGGGGCUGCGGCGCUCCAGAGCUCCGGGAUUGGGCAAUUCGCGGCGAUGGUACGACAUCGAGAAGCGGACAGCGAUUCCGAAAUGGAUACGGCUCUGAGAAGUUUUCCCAACAGGCCAGACAGUUUUAAGAAAGCAAUAUCUAAAUCUAAUGCCUACGCUAACCAAAUCCAUGGAUUCCCCACCCAUCACCUUCCGGCACAUUCUAUGGCGGAGAAGGAAAUCAGAACAACUGUGGACUGGAGUGAGAAUGCUAUCAGUGGAGACCAUGUAUGGGGUGAGACGAAUGCCUCGGGUGAUUUCUGUUACGUCGGGGAACAGGAUUGCCUGGUAAGUCAAUAUUGGAAAACGGGGCCAAGAAGAAAAUGUUCAUCAUGUAAGAUUGUAGUUCACACAGCAUGUAUGCAACAGCUGGAAAGGAUAAACUUUAAGUGCAAGCCAACGUUUCGGGAUGCAGGGAUCAGGAACUAUCGUGAGAACCAGGUGGUUCGGCACCAUUGGGUCCAUCGGAGUAGGCAGGAGGGGAAGUGCAAACAGUGCGGUAAAAGUUUCCAGCAGAAACUAUUCCAACAGAAGGAUAUCAUCGCCAUCAGCUGCUCAUGGUGUAAAGUAGCGUAUCACAACAAGGUAUCGUGCUUCAUGAUGCAGCAGAUAGAGGAACCUUGUACCCUGGGCGUUCAUGCGACAAUCAUCAUCCCUCCUACAUGGAUUAUACGCUUACCAAAACAGAGAAUACAGGGGUCCUUCAAAAGUUCCCAGAGGAAAAAGAAGAAGCCGUCGAUCAAGAGAAAGUCAAUAUCAAAGAAGGAAGAAGGCAAGAUUCAGAGGCCGUUCAUCAUAAAGCCCAUUCCAUCUCCGUUAAUGAAACCUGUCCUUGUCUUUAUCAAUCCAAAGAGUGGUGGGAAUCAGGGAGGGAAGUUGAUGACUAAGUUCCAGUGGUUAAUGAACCCUAGACAAGUCUUUGACCUCUCACAAGGUGGACCCAGGGAAGGUCUUGAGAUCUUCAAGAAAGUACCUAACCUGAGGAUCUUAGCGUGCGGAGGAGACGGCACUGUCGGGUGGAUCCUGUCAGAGAUUGAUAAGCUGAAAUUCAAACCAAUGCCUCCAGUAGCAGUACUACCUCUUGGUACAGGAAAUGAUCUGGCCAGGACUAUCAAUUGGGGAAGGGGUUACACCGAUGAACCCAUCUCCAAGAUCUUACAGCAGGUGGAAGAAGGACCAGUCGUUCAACUCGACAGGUGGAAUCUCAUCAAUGAACCUAAUCCUGACGUUGCGCUGACGAAAGAGGAGCGGGACAUCGACACCAAGCCAUUGGAUGUUUUCAACAAUUACUUCAGCUUAGGAGCCGAUGCAAGAACAGCAUUAGAAUUCCACGAAUCAAGAGAGGCCAACCCAGAGAAGUUCAACAGCAGAUUCCGUAACAAGAUGUACUACGCCCGGGCCGGGGGAACAGACCUCCUCAAGAGGGCGUCCAAAGACUUAACCAAGAAGAUCACUCUAGAAUGUGAUGGAGUGGACUUCACCAGUAGGAUCCAGGAACUCAAACUACACUGUCUACUAUUCCUCAAUAUCCCCAAAUAUGGUGCGGGCACCACUCCGUGGGGAAAUCCCAGCUCACUUCAGUUUGAACAACAGAGACAUGACGACGGCUUCUUAGAGAUCAUAGGAUUCACACCAUCACAAAUCGCUGCAUUAUACGUUGGAGGUCACGGCGAGCGAAUCUGCCAAUGCCGAGAGGCCAAGGUCAUCACUACGACAACGAUACCCAUCCAGGUGGAUGGCGAACCAUGCCGUCUACCGCCCUCUAUUAUCCACAUCAUGCUGCGUAACCAAGCCAACAUGCUGCUUAAGCCAAAGAGACGAGGAUCAGUGCCAAUUAAUGCAGACGCUCCACUAUCGAAUGAUAGACUGAGGAUACAAGUCAGUAGAAUAAGUAUGCAUGACUACGAGAGACUUAACUACGACAAGGAGAAGCUCAAGAAAGCUUCCGUGCCGUUGGGUAUCAUUGUAGUCGACUCAGACAGCAACCUGCAGCAGAUCCGAGCUCACAUUGACAGACUUCUAGAGGUGUACAUCCUACAGGACUCCAGUGCCAACGGAUCAGCAUCAAGUCUCUCACCGACAUGGUGUUUCCUGGAUUCAACGACAGCCGAUCGCUUCUUCAGGAUAGACCGUCUUCAGGAGCAUCUCCACUACAUCACAGACAUCUCAUCGGACGACCUCUACGUCCUAGACCCGGAGAGGACCAAACCCUCGAGUCUAUCCCCGGAGAGCAAGUCUGGGUCCAUGCCAGACCUCCUGGUCCAAGACCUAGGAAAUAGGACGCCCUCACCGACCAUCCUCGGAACUAACCUCAAGGUGCCUGUCACGGGUCAGCUGAUGCAGUCCAGAAGUGACAGUAUUGAGGAGAUAACCCAAGGGAUUGAUGUGAGCCUCCUUGCUAGUGCCAGUAACAAUGAGUUUACUGGUUAUGAUAGUGAGGAUGGAGCGCACUCUCUCCCGUCGCAAAGUUGUGAAGCCAUCAUCACACAUACGUCAAAUUCACCGAAGCCGCCAAAGAGAGACAUCGUUGUCGGAGUUUCAGACACAGCGCACUUAGAUCCCCUCAAUAAAAUGUUGAUCGACGUAUCGAAGCGAGGGGACCCUAUGAAAUAUGCAGAGCUCCACCGGAAGGGUGCCAAUCUAGAGACAAUGGACCAGCAUGGAAUGACAAGUUUGCAUCAUGCGGCACGCUUUGGACACAAAGAGAUUGUGCAAUACUUAAUAGAGCAUGGGCCUAAGGACUUGCUGGACUCACGUGAUGUGGAGAAGCAGCAGACUGCACUCCACAAAGCUGCUUGGUACAUGAGAAGAACCAUAUGCGCCAUGUUGGUAGAAGCAGGGGCUGCCCUCACAAUCACCGAUUACCAGGGCAACACGCCACGUAUCCAAGCGCUGAAAGCAGAGGAUACCGAGCUAGCAAGUUAUCUUGAAAGUAAGGAAGACUCAGCAUGGACGGAUGUCUAGAUGUCCCAAAACUAGAUCUGACAUCAUUCUUAUUAUUGUAAAGAAAUUACUGUUGUAUAGGCCAAAUGCGUUUUUAAUAAAAAAAUAUCUUGUGCUAUUGCUUUUACAUGGACGAAAUCGUCUAGCGGGCACCUCUUCGUAUGCUCUUUUUCUGUUAUUUGUCGUUUUAUUUUGAUCUUCUAGCUCUUUUUCUUCUAGUUUCUCAUUUUUUAUCAGAGUUUUUAUCAUGACUGACUGAAGUUGGCGGAGAGAAGGCGGGAAAAAUUAAAAAGAGCUUGGUGUGUAGCUUCAAUUUCAAUGUGUCAUGAACAGCAUCAGCGAUUGAAAGAAAACCAUGAAACCGCAGUAUGACACAAAUGACACCUUUGAAGGGGAACACUGAGUACUCAAUUUGAAUUUGAUAAUUUGAAGAUGAAUCAGAGGCCAGUGGUUAAGUCUGGUGCUUAAGUUCAGGUGCUUACUUUGACACCAAGCCUCCAGGACAGCAACACCAAACACCUCGAUGACUGAGUAUCGAGAGGAGCUUUUUGACGAUCUGCAGUGAGUCAGGGACCUAAACCAAAGUGUCACAAUUUGAUCAGGUUUGGUGUAGAAACAUGAAAUCUGUGUUUAAUUUUAUGACAAGGUGUUGAAUGGUCAGUGAUGAAGCAUUGGUAAACACCAUAAGUGUCAAAUAUCUCACACCAUGAUAGUGACAUGGAGGAAUAUGUUUGAGAGAUGGCUCUGUUAAGCACCUUGUGUUAUUUGGUGUUAUUCGUGUACACCUAGCACACUUGAUAUCAGAGUGUUUAACACGAUCUUCAGAAAUUGAUUGGAUGAGUAAAAUGGGGUUAACAAAGUUGAAUCUACGUUAUUUUACUUGGUCUCUCGUCAAGAUGAAUGAAAAAGUGUUUGUACAUUUAAAUGAUGGUGAUGGGUAGUAAAUAUUAAAUACUUUCUUUUCAAUACAACAAGUUUUGUAAACAUACAUGUCAUUUAGGUCUAGAGUUAUGCAUCACAUAGCUAAAGCACUCUAAAAUAAGGCAUUGCUUUCAAAACUCUGCAAGCAUUCAAUUUUCUAAACUACACUAUGUUAUGAAAGCAGGAAUAUGCUUCAAUUUUUUCUGUUUGAAGAUUACUUUGAGCGAUGAUAUUUAUGUUUCAAGCAUUGCCACUUUUCUCUGCAUUUUAUAAAUUGCCAAGAAAGAUGAAAUCAAAGUGAAAAUUGGGAAGCAAAUAACUUGUACAUUGAACUGAUUUGAAAUGAUAAGGUAAUGAGAAAUUCAUUCUGAAGAAAUACUUAAUUCACAUGGCAUAAUUCAAGUGUUUUUUAUCCUUCUCUUUAAGUAAAAUUACCUAUUGUGUUGAAACAUUACUGUGUUCUUAAGGCACAUUAAUAUAACAGAUUUGUGUCAAAGAAAUCAUGGAAUAAGUUUCAUGAAUUGAGUUAGAGGUCAGACUGGUAUAUUAACAGCAUUGUAGACAUGGAUUAGCCCCAUAGAAUAUAAAUUGGUUUCAUUGAUAUUUUUGAACACAUUAAAGCUUGUUUUAUGAUUAUAAACAUAUGUACAUAAUACUCAUGAACCCAAUAGUAUGGGCUUACACAUGUAAUCUUUGAUCAUAUCCAUUAUAAUUAUAAACACAUAGAAAUUGCAAAUGAGCCCUGUCUUCAGGGGUUUAAUAGAUAUAUUUUUUGAGAAAGAAAAAAAUAUUAAGAAGGAUUAGGUCUGUUAAGAAGGAUUUAUAUGAUGAAAAAAUGAACAAGAAAGAAAUAAAAAUACAAGCUUGCAGAUGACCAUUUUCAAGAAAUCACCCAUGAGGCAUAAUUUUUUGACUUUACAUUUAAAGGGUAUUAAGUGAAGGAAGAGGGUUCAGUCAUUGUUCAUUCAUAUGCGGUACAUGGUUUUGUUUUAUUGCUGAAGCUGUGGGAACAGAUAUGCAGCCUUUAUUUUGAAAACAAUAUUAUGAGUACAUGUAUGUUCAGGUGCAUCAAUUUGUUUAUGCAUAUCAUUAAAAUGUUAUUACAAACGAUCUAAAUAGAUAGUUUAUUAUACUUCUGCUCGGAUUUAAAAGUUUUGUAGAAUUCCUGACGGUUAUUACUUAUUCUUAUCACGAUGUAAUCCUUUUGUAUUCCUAAUGCAUUGGUCAUUCUAUUGGAUGAUUAUUCAUGAGGUGGAUAGAUAAGCCCCUCCCCCAGUGUCACCUCCUGACCAAUCAGAAUUCAUAGUGCAAAUAAUUGGUGUCUAUCAAUGAAUAUUCAUGAGAUAUGAUAUAUAUGAAAUACUUAUAAUCUGUAUUAUAGACAAGAAAUUGAAAAUAGGUUGUACAUUGUAAUUAUAAUGAAGAUAAAGAUAUUUAUUUAUUAAAACAGAUAUUAGAAGAAUGCAAUACUUCUUCAAAAAUGUUGGUGUAAAAACGAAGAAAUAUAAAUGAAAGUGUAUAAUUAUUAUCAGAUUAUUUGUGAUUGAAAAAAAGAUUAUUAUCUACUAAGUUACCUUGAAAUUGUCUUGUUGAUGUGCAACAGCCUCAAUGCCUGGUGUAGUGAACUAAACUCUUUAAAGUCUUUAUAACUUUGUCAAGUCUGUAUGUCCCUCACUCAAAGUACAUUGUUCCUUCAUUUCUUUCGUUUGCUUGUGAUCUUGAGUUCUGCUUAUGAAGCUAAGUUUCAAAAGAAAUGGUCUAUUAUUCAUUCUGAUUUGUGUGUCUUGCAGUGGGAAAGGAUUCCUAACGAACAAAAUCUCAUCAAAUAAUGAGACCUUGCUGAAAAUUCCUUACAUUUUGUAUUACUAAAAACACAGCUCUCUGUAGACGUACGUGUGAGUUCAACAAUAGAUUAUCUGGUUAUAACGUUAUUUGAAAUGUCUCUCAUUUUUGUGUUUUUACAAACAGUUUUUGAUCAUCUCUCUCUCUCUCUCUGACUCUGUAAGUCUCUAAAACAUGUUAAGAGUCUAAAGAAAGUAAUGGUGGUACUGCUUCUACAAGUACAUACCAUUGGAUGUUAUAGCUUUGUUUUGGCAUGCAAUAUCAUCCUUCUAUCAUUCAUGUAGAGAAAAAUACAUAUCUUGAAAUUGUAUAUGAAAGCAAAAACUCAUUAAAAAUAAGAUGUCUGUAGGAUCUGUUUGCUUGCUAAUGUAAGUUACUUGAAUAGAUCAGUUCACAAAGGUAUUUGAAUUUUAAACAUACCUCUAUCACAUUUUAUUUUAUACCUCGAUAGUGCAGAUGUCGUGCUAAUCACUCAAUGCACCGGUGCAUAAUUGUCAUUAAAGUUUUGACACAACGACCAUGUCAGAUUCCUGCACUAAAGGUUGCUACUGCCUUAUUGCAGACAGUAUUUCUUUUAAUCUUAUUUUUUUAAAGUCCAGGUUUAUCUUUGAGCUGGUCUCAUAUCCUAUGAUUAUAUAGAAUUUAUUUUUUAAGUUGUCUUUUGUUUUGGUGCUUCAGUUCACAGGUAAAGAAUGAUAUGGGUAUUCAGGGACUCUUGAGUUGAAGACGAACCUACCAAAACUGAACCACCUUUUGUAUUUGUUCUUCUCUUUUUUUUUGGGGGGGGGGGGGGGGGUGGAAGAUGGGAGAGGGGAAUGGAGACAGUGGUAUUUCUGCACAAGUUUGUUAUUGGUACUACCGGUACAGCAUUUUGGUUUGGAGGAGGGGGGGGGGGGGGGGUCGCACAUUGAUUAAAAUUAACCAACUUAGAAACGUGGGCUCCACAGAAACUGAUAUUUUAUGAAAAGCUGUUAUGUGUCCUGUGUCUUGUGCCAGCCAUCCUCUCAAUAGUUGGAUGAAAUAUUUCAUUGUUCAAGCUGUCUUUCUGUUCCGUCAUGAGUCUUACUCUGAGGACUAGAAGCUUCAGUAUAUCUGUAUUUAAAGCAAUUCUUGCAUUAAAACAUACCAACACUCAAUCUUUUCAGACACUGAUGUAGCACAUUAGACUUUAGAAUAUCCAAUUAGGCGUUGUGGUAUGUUCUCUUCUUAUAAUUGUGAUUCAUAUGCCUGAUCCUGUGUUUUUUUCUUUAUUUUUUAUUUUUCUUAACUGUCAUCUUUUCCUCUUUUUUCUAUCUUUUUUUAAUUAUCUAACAGCCAUUGUCUACCUCAAUUGUGUUAGAAUAAAGAAAAUCAGAGCAUUAGAAAAAUUGUCUUACUAGUGCAAAACACCAAUUGUGUUAAUAACAAACAUGGGGGAUAUUUGAUUAAAAAUAAAAAUGCCAUGGCCAAAUUUUCAUUGAAAAGGGUAUGCAUUGCAUGAGGGUGGGGGUGGUAUUGCAAUGGACUAAAGAUCAAAAGAUAGGAUUUGACUGCAGUGAAAUAUGUUUUUACAUUUCUAGAAUUUCAACCUACAUGGCAAAUAUAAAAUGGUUACAUUCAUCCGAUGUGAAAAUGCACAGGACUUUAUUGCGCGUAGUCACCAUUCAUUUACAUGUUUAAAAAGUGUGACAGGUUUUUUUUGCGGCAGUUUACCAUGGCAUAUCUGAACAUGCUAGCUAAGCCCUGAUGAAGGGAAUGGUAAUCAUUUGGGGGGGAAUAUGCACUAUAAACCUGUGCCGAAAGACAAAUUCAUGUACUACAUUGCUGACCAGGUCGUUGAAUGAAUGAUUAUGUAUCUUUGCCUUUGGUAAUACAAUUCAUGCAGCUAUCCGUGGAAUGGGUGAUUAGAAAUGGCAUUUUGGUUAUAUAACCUAAAGUAAUGCAUGCCUCUUUGUGAA